This 484-nucleotide ribosomal RNA is filed under the name uncultured bacterium. RNAcentral describes it as "partial 16S ribosomal RNA". It matches the Rfam family "Bacterial small subunit ribosomal RNA", at positions 30 to 507 of the family's 1533-position model. The record is from RNAcentral.
AUUGAACGCUGGCGGCAGGCCUAACACAUGCAAGUCGAGCGGAUGAAGGGAGCUUGCUCCUGGUUCCAGCGGCGGACGGGUGAGUAAUGCCUAUGAAUCUGCCUGGUAGUGGGGGAUAACGUCCGGAAACGGGCGCUAAUACCGCAUACGUCCUGCGGGAGCAAGUGGGGGAUCUUCGGACCUCUCGCUAUCAGAUGAGCCUAGUUCGGAUUAGCUAGUUGGUGGGGUAAAGGCCUACCAAGGCGACGAUCCGUAACUGGUCUGAGAGGAUGAUCAGUCACACUGGAACUGAAACACGGUCCAGGCUACUACGGGAGGCAGCAGUGGGGAAUAGUGGACAAUGGGCGAAAGCCUGAUCCAGCCAUGCCGCGUGUGUGAAGAAGGUCUUCGGAUUGUAAAGCACUUUAAGUUGGGAGGAAGGGCAGUAAGUUAAUACCUUGCUGUUUUGACGUUACCAACAGAAUAAGCACCGGCUAACUUCGUG